UGGGGAAUUUUGCGCAAUGGGGGAAACCCUGACGCAGCAACGCCGCGUGCGGGACGAAGGCCUUCGGGUUGUAAACCGCUUUCAGCAGGGAAGAACAACGACGGUACCUGCAGAAGAAGCCCCGGCUAACUACGUGCCAGCAGCCGCGGUAAUACGUAGGGGGCGAGCGUUAUCCGGAUUCAUUGGGCGUAAAGCGCGCGUAGGCGGCCCGCUAAGCGGGACCUCUAACCUCGGGGCUCAACCCCGAGCCGGGUCCCGAACUGGCUGGCUCGAGUGCGGUAGAGGCAGGUGGAAUUCCCGGUGUAGCGGUGGAAUGCGCAGAUAUCGGGAAGAACACCGAUGGCGAAGGCAGCCUGCUGGGCCGGCACUGACGCUGAGGCGCGAAAGCUAGGGGAGCGAACAGG
RNAcentral lists this ribosomal RNA (404 nucleotides) under uncultured bacterium. RNAcentral describes it as "bacterial SSU rRNA". It matches the Rfam family "Bacterial small subunit ribosomal RNA", at positions 355 to 776 of the family's 1533-position model. The record is from RNAcentral.